CCUACGGGAGGCAGCAGUGGGGAAUAUUGCGCAAUGGGCGAAAGCCUGACGCAGCGACGCCGCGUGAGGGAUGAAGGCCUUCGGGUUGUAAACCUCUUUCAGCAGGGACGAAGCGAAAGUGACGGUACCUGCAGAAGAAGCACCGGCCAACUACGUGCCAGCAGCCGCGGUAAUACGUAGGGUGCAAGCGUUGUCCGGAAUUAUUGGGCGUAAAGAGCUCGUAGGCGGCUUGUCGCGUCGGCUGUGAAAACUCAGGGCUCAACCCUGAGCCUGCAGUCGAUACGGGCAGGCUAGAGUCCGGCAGGGGAGACUGGAAUUCCUGGUGUAGCGGUGAAAUGCGCAGAUAUCAGGAGGAACACCGGUGGCGAAGGCGGGUCUCUGGGCCGGAACUGACGCUGAGGAGCGAAAGCGUGGGGAGCGAACAGGAUUAGAUACCCUGGUAGUCCACGCCGUAAACGUUGGGCGCUAGGUGUGGGGAACCUUCCACGUUCUCCGUGCCGCNGCUACGCAUAGCGCCCGCCGNGGGAGACGGCCGCGAGACGUAAACGUUAAAGUAAGUAGUAGUUACGCGUGAGAGUGCGAGGCGACGACGAGGGAGAGG
This 601-nucleotide ribosomal RNA is filed under the name uncultured bacterium. RNAcentral's name for it is "bacterial SSU rRNA". The stretch from base 1 to 521 matches the Rfam family "Bacterial small subunit ribosomal RNA", at positions 338 to 873 of the family's 1533-position model. The record is from RNAcentral.